CCGCAGGGGAGCGAAGCCGGGAGAGCGGAAAGGCGGAGACAGCUUGAAGUGGAAAGGGAAGGGCCUGGCCAGUUCGGAGGAAACGGGUACACGCCGGCUGUCCGCAAGGACGGAAGGGAAAGGGAGGUGCCCCUUUCAAAGAACCGCUUCUGCUUAUUCCGCUCGCGAUACCUAUUUUCCCCUAUGGCGUCCGAUUGAUUCACUUCAGAUUUGUGAGCGCAAAACCGUGAUGGAAAUUUUAUUAUUCGGCGCUGAAUCUUCACUGAUUCUUUUAAGACCAGGGUUUAAUUCGUGCUAAGCCUGAGCCCGGGCGUCUGACUUCGCAGCGCAGGAUUGAACCCUCGCACACGUGAAGGAACAAUCGAGAGCAGUGACUGUGGCCAUGCGCAGGGGAUCUUUCUCGCGCCGGGCGGGUGGCCCGAAUCAGACAGGCUGGAGCGCUACCCGGGCCAACCGUUCUUUUUUCGGAAAUCCGUCAGUGGCUUGAACGCAUGUUGGGGCAAAGCUCCUUCAGCCCCGUAAAGCGAUGCUGAGGCUUUCUCCUAGUUCCCUUCCCCACAUGCGUGAAAGAAAGAACUGCAGCCGCCCUGGGCUCCUACUGGGAGGAAGGGCGGGAUAUAAAUCUAACAAACAAGGAAACGCGCUUGUAUCAGGCAAUCGAUAGGAUGGCCUUGUGGAAACACGGAUUUACUCUUGCAGCCUUUCUGUGCUGCGUCUUGCAUGCCACCUGUGAACAGAAACGUAGAGUGUGGUUUGGUUUGGGGUUUUUUGUCUUCCACGCGCCACGUCCCCCCCCCCAUCGUGCGCGCAGACACUCCAGUGGAGCAACCUCGCCAUUCUGUAUACUGGUAUCAAUGGGAAUCUUAUUUUCUCUCAUGACCAUGCUGCUACUGCUGCUGCUGCUGGGAACCUAGUCACGACUGCAUUUUUCCUUCUCUCUCCAUUCGCAUUCCAAAUUCCCAAGCACUAGUUGAUGCGUGUGGAGGAGGCCCCUGCUUCGUAUGCGAGCGAUUCCCUUUCUGCUGCUGGGGGAGAGGCGCCAGCAGGCUGGUAAUUCAGAAAAGCAGAGUGCCACACCAUAUUAUGGGAUAGCAUCUGAGUCUGUGAGCAGGACGUUAUGGGCCACAUGCAGGGUAGGCAAGGUGGAGGGGGUGUCUUUUGCCAUAGCUGGAGAAGUGUGUGGUGUACACUGAGAACAGCCGAACUUGUGAAUUGUGGCAAUGCACAUUAACCAAAUGGGGGGAAAUCCCCAAGUGAUUAUUUUAAAAUAGACUUAAAUGCACAGGUGAUUUCAUGUUAUGCAAAUCAAUAGACUCUGCAGAAUACAUUCCAGAUGUUUCAGUUCCAGUUGAUAGUGAAGAACAAUUUAAAAUAUAUGUGAAUAUAACAAAAGAAAGAGGGCCCAGGGGUGUUUUGCAUUCUGUUAAUUAACAGAUCCAGACACGUCCUUUGUGAUCAUAAGCCUUUGGUUUUUCUGACCAUUCUUGCCAUAACAAGACAUGCAGGUUUGGAAGUGCUCCACCUAUCAUAAGAAGCAGAAGAGAAAGUACACAACGAUCUGAUUGGACCCUAAUGAAUUCUAAACCGAGAGAAACAACAGGGAACAGUCGUCUUUCAGCACGACAAAGACUGAGUCACAUCAUAGGGUCACCAUAAGUUGGGAUCGACUUGAAGGCAGUCCAUAGGGGAAAUGCUAUCAGCUCUUGGUUUAUACUAUCGUGCUGCUGACUGCUUUGGACUGGGAACUUGUUGAAGAUAUGGAGCUUCUGAUCACACUUUGGAACCACUUCCCAGUAAAACAAACAUAACAAAUCCUUGCUGUAGGCAAAGGUGGCAUUGGUAACCAGUCAGGUGAUGUUCACUUGGCAUGGAUGCUGGAUCAUGUGCAGCUUCUGUUGAUUACAUUAAAUCUUUUCCAAACAGAGGGAUCCGGGUUUCCUCCUAAGACGUUUAGCUCUUCAGUUGUGGCUCAAGAAGUGGGAAAGGGCACAAAAGCAAACAAGGGCUCUUCAGUGAAGUGGACCAUAAAAACACCUUAAAUCCUGUUACAUGAUCUAUCAGCCACACAACCUGUCAACUCAUGAGACUCUCAUGAGACAGAAACAUGGAUGAGAUGAACAAACUUACUGCAAAGGCAUCUGGUGAUGAGCAUGCAGGUUGUCUGCCAAGGCCAGAAACUUGUUUUUGUGUCAUGAAAAAAAAAACCAUUCUGCCGUGCAGGAGUCCAUCUCAGAAGAUGAAAAGUUCUUUGUAUUGGCCACCACAAGAAUCCACAUCCUGCAGGAAAGCACUGUGAACUUCAAAACUUGCUCGCUUUCCCCAAAGGCCAUAAUACUGUGCAAAGUACACACUAGGGAUGAGGAGAAAAUUAGAUUCCAUUUGCAUUUCAAGCUGAAUCUGUCAAAUUCACACUUUCCGAAAUAAUAUGAGAACUGAAAUACAGCCAUCCUGUGAAGUUUGCCCUUAAAACUAAUUUUGCAGUGCAGUUUGCCAGCCAACGUUUACAAAAAAUGUACAUGUAAGAGAAGAGUGCAUAAAAUGAAUAUAUGAGUGAAAAUAACAUACAAAAAUGCAUUAUAUAAUUUUGCUUGCAAAAAUGUGUACAUUAGUCAAAAACUGCCUACAAAAAUGUGUUUAUUAGGAGAAAUUCACACUAAAAUACUGGAGAAUUUUCAUGAGGAUUUUAAAAAAAGUCAGCAAAUUGCUGCAGAAAUGUGGAGAACUUAAUUUAAGAUUGGAAAAAUGGGAAAUGGAGAGAAUUGAAAUGACACAUUAAGUAAUCAUAGGAAGAAAAGCUUCAUAAUAACAGGAAGAAAAGCUUCAUAAUAUAAAGCUCAAAGUUUUUAUCAUGAUUAGGUUUAAGGCAUUAGUAGUAUCUUUGCCAUUGUUAGUAGUUCAGCUAACUAACCAAGAGUAAACUCUGACAAUUUUCCCCACCAAAAUCUACUGAUGUUCUCUCUAUUUCUAAAAAUAUUUAUAUGCCACUCUCUUACAAUACAUCAGGGUGGUGUACAGCAACAUAAAAGCUGUUACAAGCAGUACAGAACAAUCAUUAAAAUGACUGGCUACUUAGGAAAAUUUUAAACAACUGCAUAGGCCUGUCGGCUUGAAAAAGUCUUCAAGAGAUGUGUGACAGUCAAAAGCAAGGGUGUCUGCUGCAUCUCUGCUGGAAGAGUUUCCACAGCAACAAUAAAUGACUGACUUCUGGCUGAGUCAGGCCUCUGUAACAUGGGGGACAUUGAAAUCUCCAGGGUGAUCUAUAAAUACUAAUUGCUGUUUGCAAAGACAUUCCUCUCCAUUAAAUACUGAGGGAGAAAGUAGUUUAAAGCCAGACUGAACACGUCCUACGCAACUGCAAACUUUCACCUACAGAUGUUUUGCAUGGUUGUCUCCUUAAUGAUUCAGCCAUAAAAAAUACGUCAUCAAUCCAUAGGCAUAGCACUCAUUAAACUGAGAGGAGAACCAUGUUUGUAUGCUCCUUGGAGGACUGGUAGGAUAUAAA
Molecule: long non-coding RNA, 3502 nt
Organism: Rhineura floridana
Lineage: Eukaryota; Metazoa; Chordata; Lepidosauria; Squamata; Rhineuridae
Exons: 3
Source: RefSeq, a predicted model, not a curated record